AGUCACUGCACUGGAGCACCUACGGCUCUCUACUUUGCUUUGCUAUGCUUUGUUUUGUUUUUUGAUUUCUCCAAUUCAAAAACAUCACCCAGCCGUCUUUCUUAGUUUCUACACAAUCCUGUGGUUAGGGCUUUCUCUCUUUGUGCUGAAGAAUGAUCUCCCAAACAAAGUGAUUCUGUGCAACCUUAACACCAAGGCCCCUCGCCUGCAGCUGGAGGCAGCUCUCUGCUCAGCCUACAGUGCAGAAUGACACAGGCAGGCGACAUCAUCACUGAGCACCAACUUCUCUUACAUGGAGGCGGAGGGUGAAAUCCAUUCAGAACCGUGGCAAGGCGUGAGAGAGGCAAAGGCUUUCUUUGAGGUGCCAAGUCACCUGUGGUUGUUGAUUCACACUGGAGCACACCACAAGAAAAAGGUCAGAGAACAUGUUGACUUCACAGGAACUGGACUUGACAGGAUUUCUUUGGAAUCAGUAAUUCCGCUGUGGGACUCCCAAAACUCCUGA
RNAcentral lists this long non-coding RNA (505 nucleotides) under Chinchilla lanigera (long-tailed chinchilla). RNAcentral describes it as "lncRNA (ENSCLAG00000028850.1)". Lineage: Eukaryota; Metazoa; Chordata; Mammalia; Rodentia; Chinchillidae. The record is from RNAcentral.